AGGAAGAAUGCUGAAGGCCCAAGAA
Molecule: unclassified non-coding RNA, 25 nt
Filed under: Mus musculus (house mouse)
Lineage: Eukaryota; Metazoa; Chordata; Mammalia; Rodentia; Muridae
Description: oocyte_clustered_small_RNA6747
Source: RNAcentral